GAGUUUGAUCCUGGCUCAGAGCGAACGUUAGCGGCAGGCUUAACACAUGCAAGUCGAGCGACAAAGGGGCUUCGGCCCUGAGUAGAGCGGCGGACGGGUGCGUAACACGUGGAUAAUCUGCCUCGUGGCGGGGGAUAACAGUCCGAAAAGGACUGCUAAUACCGCAUGUCAGGUCGGAAAACCCUGGUUUCUGACGAAAAAAGAGGGCGCCCGCAAGGGGCUCUCACCACGAGAUGAGUCCGCGGCCCAUCAGCUAGUUGGCGGUGUAAUAGACCACCAAGGCUAAGACGGGUAGCUGGUCUGAGAGGAUGACCAGCCACACUGGGACUGAGACACGGCCCAGACUCCUACGGGAGGCAGCAGUGGGGAAUAUUGGACAAAUGGGCGAAAGCCUGAUCCAGCCAUGCCGCGUGAGUGAUGAAGGUCUUCGGAUCGUAAAGCUCUGUGGGAAGGGACGAAAAAAGGACCUAACCUAAAUACGUUAAGGUCUUGACGUACCGUUCUUAGUCAAGCACCGGCU
RNAcentral lists this ribosomal RNA (520 nucleotides) under uncultured bacterium. RNAcentral's name for it is "bacterial SSU rRNA". It matches the Rfam family "Bacterial small subunit ribosomal RNA", at positions 9 to 498 of the family's 1533-position model. The record is from RNAcentral.